GUACCAGACUCCUACGGGAGGCAGCAGUGAGGAAUAUUGGUCAAUGGCCGGGAGGCUGAACCAGCCAAGUCGCGUGAGGGAAGACGGCCCUACGGGUUGUAAACCUCUUUUGUCAGGGAGCAAGGUGCAGGUCGGGACCUGCUGUGAGAGUACCUGAAGAAAAAGCAUCGGCUAACUCCGUGCCAGCAGCCGCGGUAAUACGGAGGAUCCGAGCGUUAUCCGGAUUUAUUGGGUUUAAAGGGUGCGUAGGCGGUUUGAUAAGUUAGAGGUGAAAUGUCGGGGCUCAACCCCGAAACUGCCUCUAAUACUGUUGGACUAGAGAAUAGUUGCGGUAGGCGGAAUGUAUGGUGUAGCGGUGAAAUGCUUAGAGAUCAUACAGAACACCGAUUGCGAAGGCAGCUUACCAAACUAUAUCUGACGUUGAGGCACGAAAGCGUGGGUAGCAAACAGGAUUAGAUACCCGGGUA
This 467-nucleotide ribosomal RNA is filed under the name uncultured bacterium. RNAcentral describes it as "bacterial SSU rRNA". It matches the Rfam family "Bacterial small subunit ribosomal RNA", at positions 328 to 792 of the family's 1533-position model. The record is from RNAcentral.